AGAGUUUGAUCAUGGCUCAGGAUGAACGCUGGCGGCGUGCUUAACACAUGCAAGUCGAACGGGAAUGUUUCGCUGAUGCGAUUUCGGUCAAAUCUUGAAGCAUUUUAGUGGCGGACGGGUGAGUAACGCGUGGGUAACCUGCCCUGUACAGGGGGACAACAGUUGGAAACGACUGCUAAUACCGCAUAAGCGCACAGCUUCGCAUGAAGCGGUGUGAAAAACUCCGGUGGUACAGGAUGGACCCGCGUCUGAUUAGAUAGUUGGUGAGGUAACGGCCCACCAAGUCAACGAUCAGUAGCCGGCCUGAGAGGGUGAACGGCCACAUUGGGACUGAGACACGGCCCAAACUCCUACGGGAGGCAGCAGUGGGGAAUAUUGCACAAUGGGGGAAACCCUGAUGCAGCGACGCCGCGUGAGUGAAGAAGUAUUUCGGUAUGUAAAGCUCUAUCAGCAGGGAAGAAAACAAUGACGGUACCUGACUAAGAAGCCCCGGCUAACUACGUGCCAGCAGCCGCGGUAAUACGUAGGGGGCAAGCGUUAUCCGGAUUUACUGGGUGUAAAGGGAGCGUAGACGGUAGACCAAGUCUGAAGUGAAAGCCCGGGGCUCAACCCCGGAACUGCUUUGGAAACUGGUAAACUAGAGUGCAGGAGAGGUAAGUGGAAUUCCUAGUGUAGCGGUGAAAUGCGUAGAUAUUAGGAGGAACACCAGUGGCGAAGGCGGCUUACUGGACUGUAACUGACGUUGAGGCUCGAAAGCGUGGGGAGCAAACAGGAUUAGAUACCCUGGUAGUCCACGCCGUAAACGAUGAUUACUAGGUGUCGGGGAGUUACAC
Molecule: ribosomal RNA, 833 nt
Filed under: uncultured bacterium
Lineage: Bacteria
Description: bacterial SSU rRNA
Rfam family: Bacterial small subunit ribosomal RNA
Source: RNAcentral